Mus musculus (house mouse) is the source of this 104-nucleotide non-coding RNA. The record is from Rfam. NCBI's taxonomy places the organism in Eukaryota, Metazoa, Chordata, Mammalia, Rodentia, Muridae.
AUUCGUCUGUGACUUAUAAACAGGAUGCCUGGUUUUUCACACCAAUUUCUGAGAUGCACCUCCCUCAAAUCUUACUAGGAUGUUGGUAUGUUACCUAUUUCAUG